GGGCAGUUAGCUCAGCGGUAGAGCGGCUCGUUUACACCGAGUUGGUCGGGGGUUCGAUCCCCUCACUGCCCA
RNAcentral lists this transfer RNA (72 nucleotides) under Aphanothece sp. Its description in RNAcentral is "tRNA-Val". It matches the Rfam family "tRNA". Rfam says of the family: Transfer RNA (tRNA) molecules are approximately 80 nucleotides in length. Their secondary structure includes four short double-helical elements and three loops (D, anti-codon, and T loops). Further hydrogen bonds mediate the characteristic L-shaped molecular structure. tRNAs have two regions of fundamental functional importance: the anti-codon, which is responsible for specific mRNA codon recognition, and the 3' end, to which the tRNAs corresponding amino acid is attached (by aminoacyl-tRNA synthetases). tRNAs cope with the degeneracy of the genetic code in two manners: having more than one tRNA (with a specific anti-codon) for a particular amino acid; and 'wobble' base-pairing, i.e. permitting non-standard base-pairing at the 3rd anti-codon position. RNAcentral also lists the same sequence under 5 other names. Lineage: Bacteria; Bacillati; Cyanobacteriota; Cyanophyceae; Chroococcales; Aphanothecaceae. The record is from RNAcentral.